This 68-nucleotide transfer RNA is filed under the name Rhithrodytes agnus. RNAcentral describes it as "transfer RNA-Leu". The record is from RNAcentral. RNAcentral also lists the same sequence under 1 other name. Lineage: Eukaryota; Metazoa; Arthropoda; Insecta; Coleoptera; Dytiscidae.
UAUUAUUAUUUUGGCAGAUUAGUGUAAUGAAUUUAGAAUUCAAUAAUGUAAAUAUUUUACAAAUAAUA